UCUUCUUGCCCAAGCCCACCUGGCUGACAUGCCCUUGGGACAGGUUGGGUGUGCUCAGACCUCUCUCCCCACACUGCCCUGGUAGCCUYAAGCAUCUCAUUGCUCUGGAGUUCCAGACCUCUCCCACCCAGGAAGACAUGAGAACAAAUAAAGCCAUGCUGAUUUAGGAGAUGGAGGCACUGUGGCCCUAUAAAUGGAUGCUUAGACCAAAUUUUCCAGCUGAUGCAGCUGAUGUAUUUCCCUGAUCCCAUUAGUUCUGUGUUGAUUCAUACCUGCUGAGGACCUGAUCUCUGGGUAUUUCCCCUCCCUUGCCCCUGUGGGUGGCCUCCCAACCAAGGAUAUGGACAUAGCUCAGAAAUAAUGGGGCAAAGUGAGRGAGUGUGAGGCUUUAGAGCUUGCUGAGAUGGGGCUGACACUGCAAGGGUCCAUCCCAGGGCUGGCUCCUCAGCUGUACAUGGUGGGGAUUUACCCACUAGUGAUGGAGAUGGAGAAUUGCCUCUCUUGCAAUUUUUGCUGAAAUGUCCUCUUGGGCACUGCAUGAAGAAAGGAAGAACCUGUCCUGUCACUGAAAACAACCCUUCUGGCUUGAGAUUCCCCAGCCUAUGCAAGGAAUAACCCCACAGCUGAGGGCUCUGUGGCAGGCUGUUCCCUUACAGGUGUCUGCAGCUCACACCCAUGCCCUGAGGGUGAGCUCCAAGGAACUGAUUUCCCAGUGGUGGCUCAACAAGCAUGGGCGAUGGUGUUCUCUUCACUGCUGUCCCAUGGCCUGUGGGACCCAAUUCUCCACCCAGAGGUUGGCAGAGARUGAUUUAGGGGGCAUUUGUUACCCCUUGCAUGUCAAAUCAUGGUCUAAGCACCACAGUGGCCUGGUGUAAAGAACCAAGCAGAAACUUGAGCACAGCAGGGAAGGCAAGGAUGAGGAAAUCACACCUCGCCCCUGGCUCAGGCAUCUCCUGCUGGCAAACCUUGCCUUGAGACCCUUGGGCAGCACCUUUGUGAUGCCACCAGCUGGACUGGCCAAAGUUUAUCUCUGUGGCAUGUGCAGGACAUUGUUGUAGGCAGAGUAAAUCCAGUAAAUGCCCUGCUCUGGAGUCAGCAACAGAAAUGAAUGAACUCUGGCUUCCUCUGGCAUGGGGUUGAUUCUGAAUUGGUGGCAUCAGGAAAAAAAAUGUUUGCUUUCUUCUUUUCCAUGUAUCUUUGUUGUGGCUGAAGCCCCCACCCUGUCAAUUGCUGAGCAGGGCCGUGAGUGUCGCUGUAUUUUUCACUUGGGGAGGGUGGUGGUGGGAUGAACUGAGAGAAUGCCAGGACGCCCAYGGGGCUCGAUGGGAUUUGCUUUUCAGCUCCCUGCUAAACACCAAUGCAAAAAUGAACUUGCAGCUGGCAAAUUCAAGCCYUUUGCACCAGCAGCUCCACCCAGACCAUCUGAGCAAUCACUGCUCAGGUUUUCAGRGCCAGGAGUCCUGCAGGGCCUUGGGCUGGUUCCUGCGUGGCAACAAAUGCCCUGUUGUCACCUGGGGACACUGAGGGGACAUUUCCUAAGGACAGCAGUGGGGUGGGUGGGGGUUUUGCACUCAGGAUUGUAGAGCAGGCUCCAGGGGGUGAUGGCCCUGCCCUGGGCACAUGGCACUGCUCAGGCACUGCUGCUCUUGUCUGUCUGGAGCUGUCCCAGGGCAGGACAGCUCACCUGGAACUGAGGGACAGUGCCUGGGCUCUGUGUCCCUUGGAGGCUCUCAGCAGCCUUCCCCACCGAGGGCUAUUGGCAAACGUCUUUUUUCCUACUGCUCCUUUUUUUUUCUUCUCUUUCGUAUUUGUGUUGUUCUUUUCUUUAAGGCAGCUUUGUGAAUUUUUUUUUUUGUCUUGCUUUGUUGCUGGCUUACUUUUUCCCCCCCUCAAAUCUUCACUGCGGCAUCAGCAGCUUUUCAUUGCAGGCCUCGCAGGUGGUGCAAGGGGGCAGGGCUGCUGCCAGGUAAGCUGGGCGAGCUGAGCACAGCGGCUCAGCCUUGUCCUGCAUCCUUCUCCUUGUCCUUCCACCCCUCUCCCUCACUCCAUGCGCCCCGACCGUGCUGCUGACCUGCUGUGACCCGGGUUUGCCACCUUUAUGUUGCAGGAUUGAGCUGACCUCUGAUCUCACAUCUCUGUAGCGAGUACCUUAGGUCCUCGGCCACAAACAUUCUUGCAAAUCUUUUUGACCUGAAGACUAUAUGAAGUUGUCCCUAGCCUCCUCCUAAAGGCAUCCCUUGGCAUCUUUAAAGGCUUGAGAGAAAUACCAAAACCAACCAAACACACCCAUAAGAGAAAUCCAUAAACCCUCAAAACUUGGGAUCCCCUCUUGGCCUGAAGUUGAGUUCUUCAAAACUCCCAUGCUGUCAAGUUUGAGGAGAUACUGUUAUGUGGCUCCACGGACUGGGGCUGAGCCCAAGCAGUGACUUGAGUUGUGUUUGGGGGGCUGGGAUGMACCUUCCUCCCUUUCCCCCAGACAGAACCCAAAGUGAACACUAAAUAUGCAACACGUCUAUUAGUUGUGUUUGUUAUGUGUAUUAGGCCAUGAAAUCCAUGUUGUUCCUUUCCUGGGGUGGGCAAACCAUAGCUCUUCUCUCAGACCAGCUGGGACCUUGUACCAGACUCUCAAGUUGUUUCAUCCUGGGGCCAAACUCCUCUUUAUGGCAGARGGGUGGGAACUGCCUGUGAUUUCCAGUGUUGUACACAGCUGCUUUACUCCGAGGGGUGGAGGGAUGAAGUGGGGUCCACGUGAGGGAUGUCAGACGAUGGCUGGGCUGACUCAAAUCUUGUCCUGUAGUUAUUUGAGCAGAGAACUGAUUCWGUAGGUAGACAGGAGAUUCAAGAAGUGAUGAAGUUUGAUGGUUUAGCUGUUCCGCUUGUGGUGGAGGUUUAGGAGACCCGCUGUUAAUAUCUGCAUCCUCAUUUUUCCCUUCUCCCUUUCCCAAGAGGAAAAACACAAGGAGGUAGCUAUGGCAUCAGAGGUUCUCUCUGGCUCAGGAUGAGAUAAUGGGGGUCCUGGGAGAGGCACACUCCCCAUUCCUCUGCCUGCUUGCUGUUUUAGUGCCCUCUUCUUUUGCUGGUCCUUGGGAGCCAGAGCUUGGCAUUGCCCCUCAGCUCUGUCACACAGAGCAGAUGAAUUUGUCUGGGCACAUACUCAGUUUUAAAUUAAACCCAGCUGGUUUUUGAGAGAGAAAAGAGGGUCCAAGUCCUCAAGCAAUGUUGCAGAAACACCAGGCUGGGUGGGGAUGUGUCCUUCAAAGCUUCUCUGUCACUGACUCUUGGCUAAURCUGCAAACAUAUCAGGAACCCAACAGGCUGCUUGCCCCCCUCCCUCCUUUUUAAUUCCUAUGCAGACAAUACUUGAAACCUUGUACACAGUUGUCCUUUCCAGCGCCUGGGGUUGGCAAACUCUGCAUUAAAGGGCUCAUGUAAAGAACAGCAGGAGGUUCCAGCUUUAGAAGAGGCUGGGCUGCCCCUUCCCAGCCGACAACUGCAAGCGUGUUCAGUGGUUUGCAUAUGAAUUUAGGCACAUCUGGACCCUCUGCUUCAACAUCCCGCUGGUACAGCUGCUGUCUCCCCUCAGUGCUGGCUGGCUGACUGUGUCCCAAGCACCCAACUAUGCAAAGAAUGCCUUAUAUCCGUUGUGUUUAAGUUACAUGGCAAUGUGUACAUCCAGCAAUGUCGGUAGUUGAGUCCAGAUUUUUGCUAGCAGCAGCAAGUCAAACUCUUUCUUCAACUCAAAUGGCUGUCUGGGUAUUUUUUACUUUUGUUUGUUUUUUGUUUGUUUGUUUUGUAUCUGAUGGUGGCUCUUAUACAAAGGACUGUAAUUCUAGUGGCUUGAAUCUGUAAAAAUUGCCUUUGUUUGGUCCAAUAAACCUUUGAAUAGUUUA
Molecule: long non-coding RNA, 3890 nt
Organism: Malurus melanocephalus (red-backed fairy wren)
Lineage: Eukaryota; Metazoa; Chordata; Aves; Passeriformes; Maluridae
Exons: 2
Source: RefSeq, a predicted model, not a curated record